This 707-nucleotide ribosomal RNA is filed under the name uncultured organism. RNAcentral's name for it is "bacterial SSU rRNA". It matches the Rfam family "Bacterial small subunit ribosomal RNA", at positions 57 to 738 of the family's 1533-position model. The record is from RNAcentral.
GCAAGUCGUGCGAGAAGGUACCUUCGGGGUGCGAGUAGAGCGGNCAACGGGUGAGUAACACGUAAGUAACCUACCUCUAAAUCUGGAAUAACUCUGGCAACGCGGAGCUAAUACCGGAUGUGGUCACGAUGCUGCAUGGUAUUGUGACUAAAGGUGACCUCUCCUUGGAAGUUACCGUUUAGAGAUGGGCUUGCGGACCAUUAGCUAGUUGGUGAGGUAACGGCUCACCAAGGCUACGAUGGAUAGCCGGCCUAAGAGGGUGAUCGGCCACAUUGGGACUGAGAUACGGCCCAGACUCCUACGGGAGGCAGCAGUAGGGAAUUUUGCGCAAUGGACGAAAGUCUGACGCAGCAACGCCGCGUGAGGGAUGACGGCCUUCGGGUUGUAAACCUCUGUUGAGUGGGAAGAAAAGCUUUGUGGUUAAUAUCCACAGAGUCUGACGGUACCACUCGAGGAAGCUCCGGCUAACUACGUGCCAGCAGCCGCGGUAAUACGUAGGGGGCUAGCGUUGUUCGGAAAUCACUGGGCGUAAAGGGAGUGUAGGCGGACCGGUAAGUUAGGAGUUAAAUGUACGGGCUCAACCCGUGAUCUGCUUUUAAUACUGUCGGUCUUGAGUAUGGGAGAGGGAGAUGGAAUUCCAGGUGUAGCGGUGGAAUGCGUAGAUAUCUGGAAGAACACCAGUUGCGAAGGCGGUCUCCUGGACCAAU